Pteropus alecto (black flying fox) is the source of this 495-nucleotide long non-coding RNA. RefSeq lists it as uncharacterized. The transcript is spliced from 3 exons. The record is from RefSeq and is a predicted model, not a curated record. Lineage: Eukaryota; Metazoa; Chordata; Mammalia; Chiroptera; Pteropodidae.
UUACUCUUUGAAAAGCAAUUUUUUUUUUCCGGGAAUGUCCGACUUUCUUAGCUGCAAUUUUCUCUUUAAUAAACUGGGUGGCUCUACUACAAAACUCCCCUUAUCAAAAUGUUCCCGCAGCACCGGUCACCGUGCUCCACGUAUGUCUCUUACCCCUUGGACUCAGAAGCCAGCCCAGGGCCACCAACAAAGCCGAUUUGUCGUCUGGAUAAACGGAUGAAGAAUGGGUGGUGAUUAAAACCAUGGGAGUGGAUGAGAUACCACAGAAAGAAAAGAGAUGAGAAGAGGACCUGGGAUUGAAUCUUGAGAGAAAAAGAAACCAACGUCUGAGGGACUGAUGAAAGAAGAGAAAUAGCCUUGGAAAACCGGAGUCCCAGAUCUUUCUCUUCACUUCCACACACGACUGCCAUCUGCUGGCCACAGAUGAGAAGUGUGCUUCAGUGCUUGCAUAGGUUUGCUUCCUUUUCCAAUGAGGUAAGAAUAUACGUUUGGCAA